Molecule: ribosomal RNA, 253 nt
Filed under: uncultured bacterium
Lineage: Bacteria
Description: partial 16S ribosomal RNA
Rfam family: Bacterial small subunit ribosomal RNA
Source: RNAcentral
UACGUAGGGGGCAAGCGUUGUCCGGAAUCAUUGGGCGUAAAGAGCGUGUAGGCGGCCCGGUAAGUCCGCUGUAAAAGUCAAAGGCUCAACCUUUGAAUGUCAGUGGAUACUGCCGGGCUAGAGUCCGGAAGAGGCGAGUGGAACUCCUGGUGUAGCGGUGGAAUGCGCAGAUAUCAGGAAGAACAUCGGUGGCGAAGGCGGCUCUCUGGGACGGUACUGACGCUGAGACGCGAAAGCGUGGGGAGCGAACAGG